GACGAACGCUGGCGGUGUGCCUAACACAUGCAAGUCGAGCGAGCGGUUGGGGUGCUUGCACUCCUAACUUGCGAGCGGCGGACGGGUGCGUAACACGUAGGAACCUGCCCCGAACGUGGGGGACGAACGGCUGGAAACGGCCGCUAAACCCGCAUGAGCUCGGCUUCGGUCGAGGAAAACUUUGGUGCUUCGGGAGGGGCCGUGCGACCUAUCAGGUAGUUGGUGGGGUAACGGCCUACCAAGCCUACGAC
Molecule: ribosomal RNA, 251 nt
Filed under: uncultured bacterium
Lineage: Bacteria
Description: partial 16S ribosomal RNA
Rfam family: Bacterial small subunit ribosomal RNA
Source: RNAcentral